Molecule: ribosomal RNA, 254 nt
Filed under: uncultured bacterium
Lineage: Bacteria
Description: partial 16S ribosomal RNA
Rfam family: Bacterial small subunit ribosomal RNA
Source: RNAcentral
UACGUAGGGGGCAAGCGUUGUCCGGAAUCAUUGGGCGUAAAGCGCGUGUAGGCGGUCCGGUAAGUCCGCUGUGAAAGUCGGGGGCUCAACCCUCGGAUGCCGGUGGAUACUGUCGGGCUUGAGUACGGAAGAGGCGAGUGGAAUUCCUGGUGUAGCGGUGAAAUGCGCAGAUAUCAAGGAGGAACACCAAUUGCGAAGGCAGCUCGCUGGGACGUUACUGACGCUGAGACGCGAAAGCGUGGGGAGCAAACAGG